GACGAACGCUGGCGGCGUGCUUAACACAUGCAAGUCGAACGAGACGAUUUAGAAGCUUGCUUUUAUUGAGUCGAGUGGCAAACGGGUGAGUAACGCGUAUCCAACCUGCCCAUCACUUGGGAAUAACCUUGCGAAAGUAAGACUAAUGCCCAAUGACAUUUAUAGAAGGCAUCUGAAAUGAAUUAAAGAUUUAUCGGUGAUGGAUGGGGAUGCGUCUGAUUAGCUUGUUGGCGGGGUAACGGCCCACCAAGGCGACGAUCAGUAGGGGUUCUGAGAGGAAGGUCCCCCACAUUGGAACUGAGACACGGUCCAAACUCCUACGGGAGGCAGCAGUGAGGAAUAUUGGUCAAUGGGCGAGAGCCUGAACCAGCCAAGUAGCGUGCAGGAAGACGGCCCUAUGGGUUGUAAACUGCUUUUGUGCGGGGAUAAAGUGUGCGACGUGUCGCUCAUUGCAGGUACCGCACGAAUAAGGACCGGCUAAUUCCGUGCCAGCAGCCG
This 498-nucleotide ribosomal RNA is filed under the name uncultured bacterium. Its description in RNAcentral is "bacterial SSU rRNA". It matches the Rfam family "Bacterial small subunit ribosomal RNA", at positions 28 to 517 of the family's 1533-position model. The record is from RNAcentral.